AUCUAGGGUUUAAUUAGAUGAAAGUAAGAUGAACGUUAGCUAAAAUGGAUGUAACGUCUACCUAUAAAUAAAGUGUGUUGGAAGUGAGAGGUAUCUCAUUCCACACUUCUCUUGUGUCUAACCUUAUUAUUUUCUACUUACUUGUGUCUUGCUUAUUGUGUUUCUUCAAUAGGUUAUGGGCCCACAUACACUUUGUUGUGUUAUUUAAGUAAGAUGAAGACAUUUGCUGGUUGUUAUUUUUGUGUGGAAUAGAUCUUAUGGUGUUUGCUGAUGUUAGAGAUGGUAUGAUAUAAUCUUGUGUUUUGACUUGUAGAGGUUUUG
Molecule: long non-coding RNA, 321 nt
Filed under: Physcomitrium patens
Lineage: Eukaryota; Viridiplantae; Streptophyta; Bryopsida; Funariales; Funariaceae
Description: long non-coding RNA (PPAT_LNC001705)
Source: RNAcentral